This 499-nucleotide ribosomal RNA is filed under the name uncultured bacterium. Its description in RNAcentral is "partial 16S ribosomal RNA". It matches the Rfam family "Bacterial small subunit ribosomal RNA", at positions 28 to 506 of the family's 1533-position model. The record is from RNAcentral.
GACGAACGCUGGCGGCGUGCUUAACACAUGCAAGUCGAACGGGUCUGCCCUGUUUUUUGCGGGGUGGGUCAGUGGCGAACGGGUGAGUAACACGUGAGUAACCUGCCCCUCACUUCUGGAUAACCGCUUGAAAGGGUGGCUAAUACGGGGUGUUCUGGCUGUGCCGCAUGGUGUGGCUGGGAAAGAUUCACUUUUGUGGUGUUUUGGUGGGGGAUGGGCUCGCGGCCUAUCAGCUUGUUGGUGGGGUGAUGGCCUGCCAAGGCUUUGACGGGUAGCCGGCCUGAGAGGGUGGGCGGUCACACGGGGACUGAGAUACGGCCCAGACUCCUGCGGGAGGCAGCAGUGGGGGGUAUUGCACAAUGGGCGGAAGCCUGAUGCAGCGACGUCGCGUGAGGGAUGGAGGCCUUCGGGUUGUGAACCUCUUUCGCCGGUGAAGAAGGUCCUGCUCUUUGUGGUGGGGUUGACGGUAGCCGGGUUACGAAGCGCCGGCUAACUACGU